UACGUAGGGUGCGAGCGUUAAUCGGAAUUACUGGGCGUAAAGCGUGCGCAGGCGGUACGUUAAGACAGGUGUGAAAUCCCCGGGCUUAACCUGGGAAUUGCGCUUGUGACUGGCGUGCUCGAGUGCGGCAGAGGGGGGUGGAAUUCCAGGUGUAGCAGUGAAAUGCGUAGAUAUCUGGAGGAACACCGAUGGCGAAGGCAGCCCCCUGGGCCGACACUGACGCUCAGGAACGAAAGCGUGGGGAGCAAACAGG
This 253-nucleotide ribosomal RNA is filed under the name uncultured bacterium. RNAcentral's name for it is "partial 16S ribosomal RNA". It matches the Rfam family "Bacterial small subunit ribosomal RNA", at positions 524 to 776 of the family's 1533-position model. The record is from RNAcentral.